Molecule: ribosomal RNA, 494 nt
Filed under: uncultured bacterium
Lineage: Bacteria
Description: partial 16S ribosomal RNA
Rfam family: Bacterial small subunit ribosomal RNA
Source: RNAcentral
GACGAACGCUGGCGGCGUGCUUAACACAUGCAAGUCGAACGGUGAAGCGCCUUCCUUUUUGGUGGGUGUGGAUGAGUGGCGAACGGGUGAGUAACACGUGAGUAACCUGCCCCCUUCUUCUGGAUAACCGCAUGAAAGUGUGGCUAAUACGGGAUAUUCUGGGUCUGUCGCAUGAUGGGUCUGGGAAAGAUAUUGUUUCGGUGGGGGAUGGGCUCGCGGCCUAUCAGCUUGUUGGUGGGGUGAUGGCCUACCAAGGCGGUGACGGGUAGCCGGCCUGAGAGGGUGGACGGUCACACUGGGACUGAGCCACGGCCCAGACUCCGACGGGAGGCAGCAGUGGGGAAUAUUGCACAAUGGGCGCAAGCCUGAUGCAGCGACGCCGCGUGAGGGAUGGAGGCCUGCGGGUUGUGAACCUCUUUCGCCAGUGAAGCAGGCCUGCCUCGUUUGUGGGUGGGUUGACGGUAGCUGGAUAAGAAGCGCCGGCUAACUACGUG